AAGUCGUAACAAGGUUUCCGUAGGUGAACCUGCGGAAGGAUCAUUACCGUGGGGCUUCGGCCCCAUUGAGAUAGCACCCUUUUGUUUUAUGAGUACCCUUGUUUCCUCGAGGCUGGCCUUGCCCGCGAGUAAAGGCUAGCAUCAAACCUUUGCAGUAGCAGUAACUUCAGUUAAAAAACAAAUAUUAAAA
RNAcentral lists this unclassified non-coding RNA (190 nucleotides) under plant metagenome. RNAcentral describes it as "partial contains small subunit ribosomal RNA and internal transcribed spacer 1". The stretch from base 1 to 46 matches the Rfam family "Eukaryotic small subunit ribosomal RNA", at positions 1786 to 1831 of the family's 1831-position model. The record is from RNAcentral.